AUUUAACCCCAAUUUUUAUCACCUUUCUAGUGACCAGACCAGGGUGGGAUCUAAACUGUAAAACACUAGAACACCUGAAGAAGCCAUAGAAAGGUGAUAAAAAUUGGGGUUAAAUNNNNNNNUAGCAGAUGAAAUGAGUGCCAGUGGCAGUGGCAGUGGCAGUGGCAGCGCAAAUGAUUACUUAGACUAAGGAGGAGGUUGUUUUUGUGACACUUGUGGAUUACGCAUUACAGAGGCUGAAAUGGUACAGUAGAGCAUAGCUCAAGAGACCCAUAAUCAAGCAACUCCUCGAUCAUUUGCUCUAUGUGAUGCUCUUCAAGAGGCUUAAACUGCUGCUGGAUGCUGUCAACCUGUACUUUCUUGACAACCCAGUUCGCCUCUGUCUCUUGAACUUGCAAUGGACAUUUCUCUGGCAACCGGGUACCCAAUUCCUCACUUUUUAUAACAAUGCCCUUAGUGGUGGUGGUGGUGGUGGUGUUAGUGUGUAAAGUCGGGCCUUUUUGUUGUUGUUCACAAAGUGAUGCUUGUUUGGUCAUUUGCAGCGAGGCCAUAUAGCACCUAUGCAAUUUGGCUGUCAAAGUUGCCGAGAGAAGUUUUGAGGGCGAUGAUUGUGAUGCACUGGGAUUAUAAGGGAAAUUGGUCCUAGCCCUUGGUCCACACAUAAGCCUUGCAGCUUCAUCAUAAGCUCGAGCAGCGUCUUCAGCCGUUUCGAAU
RNAcentral lists this unclassified non-coding RNA (714 nucleotides) under Hevea brasiliensis (rubber tree). The record is from RNAcentral. Lineage: Eukaryota; Viridiplantae; Streptophyta; Magnoliopsida; Malpighiales; Euphorbiaceae.